CAUUAAGUAACUUAAGAUUAAAAGUAAUGGUCUCUUAAACCAAUGUAUAGUAUAUUAAUAAAUACUCUUAAUGA
RNAcentral lists this transfer RNA (74 nucleotides) under Aeneolamia contigua. RNAcentral describes it as "tRNA-Lys". The record is from RNAcentral. Lineage: Eukaryota; Metazoa; Arthropoda; Insecta; Hemiptera; Cercopidae.